CAGAUCUUCAUCUCAGCUCAGGUACCCUAUGGAAUACGAGCAGGAUGACCAACCCUUGGUCUGCAGACUUCCAGCUGGGAAACACACAAAAGCCGCAGUUGACCUGACAAAUAGCCAAGGGGCUGGAACUGGGUUUCCCCUGGGAUGCUCACCCACCUCUUAGUCCCCACCUCCCCAGCCCACCCUGAUGAAACCAGCUUCACCAAACAUCUGUUUCCUGCCACUAUGGAGCAAGCACUCCUCUUUCUGUCCUGGUGAGUCGGCAUCAAGGACUUUCAUCACGAAGAUCAAGUGGAGGUGCACUGUGACCAGGGACAGCUUCCCUGUUCCAAAAUGAUACUGGGAGAUGGCGUUCAAUUAAGAAGCUGAGUUACUCUUUCUGUGUGAGCCUUUGAAGAUGCCAGGCUCAAGAUGCGAUGUGAAGUCUUUAAAAGAAAGGGAAGCCGGCUUCUCCGGGGCACCUGCAUCUGCUUCUCCAGGGCCACAUCAGCCUCUCUUCAGAUGCUCUCAGCUGCCUGCCUACUGACUCCUUGGGAAUCCCUGGAAGUAUCUGCAACGGAGACCAGUCUUCCGGGUGGACUUUGCAUCAGUUGCUGGCCUUCUUCUCAACCCCGAGGACCCAGAGUUACAGGAAAGCUCCCCACAUCUAUAAUUCCACCAGUCAUCUCCCUGCAGGAAAGCUUUAGAUCUAUGGAGUGGCUGGCAAGAGCAAAGAUGUGAGAGCAGGAAAGUGAAGAGCAGGCGUGGAGACGAGGAGGAGGAUACAAUUUGAAGGGCAAUCUGGGUAUAAGCAGAAACAGAGGCAGGAGAUGUUGGGGAAACUGCCUGCCAGGCCAUUGAGGGUGGUGAGGAUGGCCGGGGACUGAUGGAUGGAUCAAUGGGAUGCCAUUGACCCUGUGGACAGUGGAGAGAAGUUGCAGGAUCUCGAGUCUGAGGGUGGUCUGUCCAGCCUGGCGGAAGCGUGCAGGGUGGACCAUGACGUGGCAACAAGGAUAUAGACACAGAGGUGAGAAGGGAGUGGAGAUCAGGACCCAGGUUGCUCGUGGAGGCCACAGGCGCAGGCAGCAGGGGAGAGAGGUGGGUUCCCAGGGAGGAAGGCAUGAAGGGGUGAUGUGGCUCACUGUCCUUUGGGAGCGGAGGGAGAGACGGGAGUCUGAGGUGACUCCCACUCUCCAGCUAGAGAGUCUGAAUAAAAGGAAAGGCGGUAAUGGGGGAGGGGCUGGCUUUUCAGGGGAAUCGGCAGGAAAUGUAGAAUGCACACUGCGGUGUGUGGAAUAGGCAAUGAGGAAUCUGGAGUGGGAGAUGGGUCUUGAGAAGGUUUCCCUGCAAAUCUAGGGAUGACGCAGCAAUAUCAGAUGCUCCCUGGGGAAGGCUCAGUGCAAGGGCACACCCAUCCCCACCUCCCAGACCCUUCUUGUUGUCCCACCACUAAGUCAUGUCCCACCCCUAAGUCACAAGACUGCCCUGAUGUCCUCAUAUCACAUCAUCAUUUAAUUAUUUCACGCCUAGAUCAUAGGUGUCAUGUAAUAACAUUGUGGCAGCCAACAGCAAUUGAACAGUAAAAAGGUUAAUUGCAUUUAUUAAAAAAAACAACACAAAACUCUGCCAAAGGAAGGUACUCCAACCAUUGGGCAGACUAGUUGAAAGCUAAUGUUGUGACUAAAUUGAAUUUCAAAUGAAUUUUACAUCCAUAGUUCAUUUUGCUAAUUUGAUUCUCUGCAUCCUGUAAUUUGUUGACAGUGAUUGAUUACUUAAGUGAAUAAUAUCUGUGUAUGGGGAUCAUUUAGUAAUAGAAAAUGCCAUGCAUGAUCAUCACAUUAAUGAUUAUUGUGUGCUUGAAUUGUCAUCACCUACUUAGUCCAUUGAAGGUAUUGGGAAAUCAGAGCCACCCCCCAAAUUCAA
Molecule: long non-coding RNA, 1902 nt
Organism: Odocoileus virginianus texanus
Lineage: Eukaryota; Metazoa; Chordata; Mammalia; Artiodactyla; Cervidae
Source: RefSeq, a predicted model, not a curated record